AGAGCAGCGGCCAAGGCUGAGGAGGGAGCUGGGACUCGAGACCCUGCUCCACCCUGCCGGCUCCCGCUCGGCCCCAUUGCCUGGCAAGCCCCGGCAUCUUCGACCCACGUCCGUGGCGCUGCCUGGGUAGGAACGCGCCUGAAGACCGCGCAGGACACUACCACUGAGCAUCCUGGGUUUGAUCUUCUCCCCAGGGCGGGUGGGUGCUCCACCCUCCCGCCCACUCUCUGAGGACACGAGAACCAUGGUAUCCAGCACCACGGACAGCUCCCAGCGGUGAGUGAGCCAGCUGACCCCUGUAGGAAAAUGGUAGUUUUGUCUAUUCCAGGCAGACAUCCAGAUCUGAUGAGGCAUGGCUGCCCCGGGAUUACUGGGCUCGGACGGGAGCAGUGGUAGGAAGGAUCCUAUGUAAGUCAUGUGAGACAUAGAAUGUUCAGAUCAACUGAAGCUGAAACAAGCCUUUGGCAUCAUAUAUAACCCAGAAAGGGACACAGCUGGUGAGUGAACUCCUGAAUCCAGCCUAGCCUUUUCUGCACUGAUUUCUCCUUUAUGAAUCUCCUUGCCCAAUUCUGGCAGGAGUUUCACAUGGGAUGUUACACACAAAAGGACAAGAUAUAUGACUGGGAAUGUGAAGUAUCCCUAAGAAGCAGGGAAAGGUGGAACUGACUGCUCUCACCGUCUGAGAAGGCUUUCAAGGGAAAGUCCUGAAGAAGGCAUGGGGAAGGCUUACCUAGCAGAAAAGGCAAGGGAGCCACCAUCUGCCAGGGUAUAGAGGCCAGUGGAUGGCCCCAGGAGUCUCUGGAGGCCAGCAGGAGGCAUGCAGACUGGACUGGGGCCUGGGAAAGGCCCUUCUGUGUGCCCACGCUUGCUCCCCCUACACCAUGAGUCUAGAGACAAAGGGACCACUCUCUCACAUUUGACACUGCCAUCUCCGGCUGGCAGUGCCAGGUGGCAGGGGCAUCAGGGGGUGUCAAUCCAUUAUCCACUCCCAGCCCCUAAGUCCUCUGGGGCUGAAUGUUGGGGAGGUGGGUGUUCUACGCUAUGUUGCCAUAGUAACCACCCCAACCCCCAACCCC
RNAcentral lists this long non-coding RNA (1076 nucleotides) under Mus caroli (Ryukyu mouse). RNAcentral describes it as "lncRNA (MGP_CAROLIEiJ_G0005670.1)". The record is from RNAcentral. Lineage: Eukaryota; Metazoa; Chordata; Mammalia; Rodentia; Muridae.